CUCCGGUUGAUCCCGCCGGACCUGACUGCUAUCGGAUUGGUACUAAGCCAUGCGAGUCGUUGUAGCAAUACAAGGCGGACGGCUCAGUAACACGUAGUCAACCUAACCUAUGGACGUGGAUAACCUCGGGAAACUGAGAAUAAACCGCGAUAGAUCAUUAUGCCUGGAAUGGCUUAUGGUUCAAACAAUUUAUUGCCGUAGGAUGGGACUGCGGCCUAUCAGCUUGUUGGUGAGGUAAUGGCCCACCAAGGCUAUAACAGGUACGGGCUCUGAGAGGAGAAGCCCGGAGAUGGGUACUGAGACACGGACCCAGGCCCUAUGGGGCGCAGCAGGCGAGAAACCUUAGCAAUGUGCGAAAGCACGACUAGGUUAAUCCGAGUGAUUUCUGUUGAAGAAAUCUUUUGUCAGUCAUAAAACCACAGACGAAUAAGGGGUGGGCAAGUCUGGUGUCAGCCGCCGCGGUAAUACCAGCACCUCGAGUGGUCAGGAGGUUUAUUGGGCCUAAAGCAUCCGUAGCCGGCUACGCAAGUCUCCGGUUAAAUCCAGCUGCUCAACAGAUGGGCUGCCGGAGAUACUACAUAGCUAGGGAGCGGGAGAGGUAGACGGUAUUCUGUGGGUAGGGGUAAAAUCCACUGAUCCAUAGAGGACCACCAGUGGCGAAGGCGGUCUACCAGAACGCGUUCGACGGUGAGGGAUGAAAGCUGGGGGAGCAAACCGGAUUAGAUACCCGGGUAGUCCCAGCUGUAAACGAUGCAAACUCGGUGAUGCAUUGGCUUAUGGCCAAUGCAGUGCCGCAGGGAAGCCGUUAAGUUUGCCGCCUGGGAAGUACGGACGCAAGUCUGAAACUUAAAGGAAUUGGCGGGGGAGCA
This 869-nucleotide ribosomal RNA is filed under the name uncultured archaeon. RNAcentral's name for it is "bacterial SSU rRNA". It matches the Rfam family "Archaeal small subunit ribosomal RNA", at positions 1 to 878 of the family's 1478-position model. The record is from RNAcentral.